GAUGAACGCUAGCGGGAGGCUUAACACAUGCAAGUCGAGGGGCAGCACGGGGUAGCAAUACUCUGGUGGCGACCGGCGCACGGGUGAGUAACGCGUAUGUAACCUACCCUGUACAGGGGGAUAGCCCGGAGAAAUUCGGAUUAAUACCCCAUAACGAUAUCUGGAGGCAUCUUUGGAUAUUUAAAGUUUCAACGGUACGGGAUGGGCAUGCGUAACAUUAGCUAGUUGGUAAGGUAACGGCUUACCAAGGCGACGAUGUUUAGGGGUCCUGAGAGGGUGAUCCCCCACACUGGUACUGAGACACGGACCAGACUCCUACGGGAGGCAGCAGUGAGGAAUAUUGGUCAAUGGGCGUAAGCCUGAACCAGCCAUCCCGCGUGAAGGAAGAAGGCGCUAUGCGUUGUAAACUUCUUUUCCAGAGGAAGAAAACCCCUGACGAGUCAGGGCU
This 448-nucleotide ribosomal RNA is filed under the name uncultured Bacteroidota bacterium. RNAcentral describes it as "bacterial SSU rRNA". It matches the Rfam family "Bacterial small subunit ribosomal RNA", at positions 28 to 469 of the family's 1533-position model. Lineage: Bacteria; Pseudomonadati; Bacteroidota. The record is from RNAcentral.